This 250-nucleotide ribosomal RNA is filed under the name uncultured Actinomycetes bacterium. RNAcentral describes it as "uncultured actinobacterium partial 16S ribosomal RNA". It matches the Rfam family "Bacterial small subunit ribosomal RNA", at positions 28 to 276 of the family's 1533-position model. Lineage: Bacteria; Bacillati; Actinomycetota; Actinomycetes. The record is from RNAcentral.
GACGAACGCUGGCGGCGUGCUUAACACAUGCAAGUCGAACGGUGAAGCUCAAGCUUGCUUGGGUGGAUCAGUGGCGAACGGGUGAGUAACACGUGAGCAACCUGCCCCGGACUCUGGAAUAAGCGCUGGAAACGGCGUCUAAUACUGGAUAUGACACCAAUCCGCAUGGGUAUGGUGUGGAAAGUUUUUCGGUCUGGGAUGGGCUCGCGGCCUAUCAGCUUGUUGGUGAGGUAAUGGCUCACCAAGGCGA